Pelodiscus sinensis (Chinese soft-shelled turtle) is the source of this 69-nucleotide transfer RNA. It matches the Rfam family "tRNA". From Rfam's summary of the family: Transfer RNA (tRNA) molecules are approximately 80 nucleotides in length. Their secondary structure includes four short double-helical elements and three loops (D, anti-codon, and T loops). The record is from Rfam. NCBI's taxonomy places the organism in Eukaryota, Metazoa, Chordata, Testudines, Trionychidae.
GGAUUGCUCAGUGGUUUGAGCAUUGGUCUGCUAAACCCAGGGUUUUGAGUUCAAUCCUUAAGGGAUCUG